This 1129-nucleotide ribosomal RNA is filed under the name human gut metagenome. Its description in RNAcentral is "bacterial LSU rRNA". It matches the Rfam family "Bacterial large subunit ribosomal RNA", at positions 1111 to 2316 of the family's 2925-position model. The record is from RNAcentral.
AGCAGCCACUCAUUAAAAGAGUGCGUAAUAGCUCACUGGUCGAGUGACUCUGCGCGGAAAAUAUAACGGGGCUAAGCAUACAACCGAAGCUUGGGAUUGUCUAAAGACAGUGGUAGGGGAGCGUCGUGUAUGGGGUGAAGUCGCAUCGGAAGGAGCGGUGGACUGUACACGAGUGAGAAUGCCGGAAUGAGUAGCGAGAAUUAUGUGGGAAUCAUAAUGGCCGAAAAUCUAAGGUUUCUUGGGGAAGGUUCGUCCGCCCAAGGUAAGCCGGGAGCUAAGGCGAGGCCGCAAGGCGUAGUCGAUGCACAUACGGUAAAGAUUCCGUAGCCGCCGAACUUUAAGUCAGAGGGACACUUGCAGAUAGCGGAACCCAGCCGUUGGUUGAGCUGGGCGAAAGGGACUGAAAUUAGUAGGGAAGUCCGCGAUGCUGAAAGGCGAGAAAAGCUCUGAUGGAUACUAAGGCGCCCGUACCGCAAACCGACACAGGUAGAUGAGGAGAGAAUCCUAAGGCCAACGGGAGAAGGGUUGUUAAGGAACUCGGCAAAUUGACCCCGUAACUUCGGAAGAAGGGGAGCCCCGAAAGGGGCCGCAGUGAAUAGGCCCAAGCAACUGUUUACCAAAAACACAGGUUUAUGCUAAAUCGAAAGAUGACGUAUAUGAGCUGACGCCUGCCCGGUGCCGGAAGGUUAAGAGGAGAGCUUAGAGGCAACUCGAAGGUUUGAAUUGAAGCCCCGGUAAACGGCGGCCGUAACUAUAACGGUCCUAAGGUAGCGAAAUUCCUUGUCAGGUAAGUUCUGACCCGCACGAAUGGCGUAAUGAUUUGGGCACUGUCUCAACAGCCCGCCCGGCGAAAUUGUAGUACUGGUGAAGAUGCCAGUUACCCGCAACUAGACGGAAAGACCCCAUGGAGCUUUACUGCAGUUUAAUACUGGGAAUCGGUAAUGCAUGUACAGGAUAGGUGGGAGACUAGGAAGCAUGGUCGUCAGGUCAUGUGGAGUCACCGGUGGGAUACCACUCUUGUAUUGCUGAUUUCCUAACCUGCGGCCGUGAAUCCGGUCGGGGGACACUGUUAGACGGGCAGUUUGACUGGGGCGGUCGCCUCCAAAAGAGUAACGGAGGCGCUCAAAGG